RNAcentral lists this ribosomal RNA (429 nucleotides) under uncultured bacterium. RNAcentral's name for it is "bacterial SSU rRNA". It matches the Rfam family "Bacterial small subunit ribosomal RNA", at positions 355 to 775 of the family's 1533-position model. The record is from RNAcentral.
UGGGGAAUUUUGCGCAAUGGGGGAAACCCUGACGCAGCAACGCCGCGUGAGUGAUGAAGGCUUUCGGGUCGUAAAGCUCUGUCUAGAGGGAAGAAAUGAUAAUCGGUUAAUACCCGGUUUUCUUGACGGUACCUCUGAAGGAAGCACCGGCUAACUCCGUGCCAGCAGCCGCGGUAAUACGGAGGGUGCAAGCGUUGUUCGGAUUUAUUGGGCGUAAAGCGCGUGUAGGCGGUUUGUUAAGUCUGAUGUGAAAGCCCCGGGCUCAACCUGGGAAGUGCAUUGGAAACUGGCAGACUUGAAUACGGGAGAGGGUAGUGGAAUUCCUAGUGUAGGAGUGAAAUCCGUAGAUAUUAGGAGGAACACCGGUGGCGAAGGCGGCUGCCUGGACCGAUAUUGACGCUGAGACGCGAAAGCGUGGGGAGCAAACAG